UGAAAACCCAGAAAAAUACAAAAGCUGCAUUUUUACUGUUUCAUGGAAGACUUGAGAGUAAAAAAUAUCCAAAAACUUCAAACGGCCAAAUUCAUACUGUUUCAUUGAUCUCUUUACUGAUUUCUGAAAUUUUCCCGUUCUUAAAUACCUUCUAGUUCAUUUGAGAUUUAGAUAAAUUGAUUUGAGGUUUAAAAUAUGACAUUGGUUUCUGGGUUGUUUAAG
This 222-nucleotide long non-coding RNA is filed under the name Nicotiana benthamiana. RNAcentral's name for it is "long non-coding RNA (NBEN_LNC039453)". The record is from RNAcentral. Lineage: Eukaryota; Viridiplantae; Streptophyta; Magnoliopsida; Solanales; Solanaceae.